AUGAGACACUUUGGUCUUAUGGCAAAUCUUCGGGGAUACAUGGCAGGAGGAAAGGAAUGGGUUCUUGAUAGUGGAUGUACCGAUCACAUGAGCGGAGAUAAAGAUAUGUUUCGUGAGCUUGCUGAAAACGACGGCCCUCGAAAGUAUGUCACUUUUGGUGAUAACUCAAAGGGUAAGGUGGUUGGCCUCGGUAAGGUGGCCAUCUCACAUGAUAGCUCCAUACAAAAUGUCAUGCUCGUUGAAUCUCUUGGCUAUAAUCUGCUUUCUGUUUCUAGACUAGCUGACUUUGGUUUCAAUGUCCUAUUUACCGAAGUAGAUUGCCAAGUGUUUUGUAGAGAUAAUCAUAAAAUGGUCUUUACUGGUAUACGUAGAGGUGACCUUUACAUUGUUGAUUUCACUAAAAAGGCUCAACCUAGAACUUGCUUAAUUGCUAAAUCCUCUAAAGGUUGGUUGUGGCAUAGACGGUUAGGUCAUGUGGGCAUGUGA
This 486-nucleotide ribosomal RNA is filed under the name Triticum aestivum (bread wheat). RNAcentral describes it as "partial small subunit ribosomal RNA". Lineage: Eukaryota; Viridiplantae; Streptophyta; Magnoliopsida; Poales; Poaceae. The record is from RNAcentral.